Molecule: ribosomal RNA, 460 nt
Filed under: uncultured bacterium
Lineage: Bacteria
Description: partial 16S ribosomal RNA
Rfam family: Bacterial small subunit ribosomal RNA
Source: RNAcentral
CCUACGGGAGGCAGCAGUGAGGAAUAUUGGUCAAUGGACGAGAGUCUGAACCAGCCAAGUAGCGUGAAGGAUGACUGCCAUCUGGGUUGUAAACUUCUUUUAUAAAGGAAUAAAACGAGGCAAGUGUGCCUUUUUGCAUGUACUUUAUGAAUAAGGAUCGGCUAACUCCGUGCCAUCAGCGGCGGUAAUACGGAGGAUCCGAGCGUUAUCCGGAUUUAUUGGGUUUAAAGGGAGCGUAGAUGGGUUGUUAAGUCAGUUGUGAAAGUUUGCGGCUCAACCGUAAAAUUGCAAUUGAUACUGGCAGUCUUGAGUACAGUUGAGGUAGGCGGAAUUCGUGGUGUAGCGGUGAAAUGCUUAGAUAUCACGAAGAACCCCGAUUGCGAAGGCAGCUUACUAAACUGUGACUGACAUUGAUGCUCGAAAGUGUGGGUAUCAAACAGGAUUAGAUACCCCUGUAGUC